GACGAACGCUGGCGGCGUGCUUAACACAUGCAAGUCGAACGGAAAGGCCCUGCUUUUGUGGGGUGCUCGAGUGGCGAACGGGUGAGUAACACGUGAGUAACCUGCCCUUGACUUUGGGAUAACUUCAGGAAACUGGGGCUAAUACCGGAUAGGAGCUCCUGCUGCAUGGUGGGGGUUGGAAAGUUUCGGCGGUUGGGGAUGGACUCGAGGCUUAUCAGCUUGUUGGUGGGGUAGUGGCUUACCAAGGCUUUGACGGGUAGCCGGCCUGAGAGGGUGACCGGCCACAUUGGGACUGAGAGACGGCCCAGACUGCUACGGGAGGCAGCAGUGGGGAAUAUGGCACAAUGGGCGGAAGCCUGAUGUAGCAACGCCGCGUGCGGGAUGACGGCCUUCGAGUUGUAAACCGCUGUCGCCUGUGACGAAGCGUGAGUGACGGUAAUGGGUAAAGAAGCACCGGCUAACUACGUG
Molecule: ribosomal RNA, 468 nt
Filed under: uncultured bacterium
Lineage: Bacteria
Description: partial 16S ribosomal RNA
Rfam family: Bacterial small subunit ribosomal RNA
Source: RNAcentral